This 497-nucleotide ribosomal RNA is filed under the name uncultured bacterium. Its description in RNAcentral is "partial 16S ribosomal RNA". It matches the Rfam family "Bacterial small subunit ribosomal RNA", at positions 28 to 507 of the family's 1533-position model. The record is from RNAcentral.
GAUGAACGCUGGCGGCGUGCCUAAUACAUGCAAGUCGAGCGAACGGACGAGAAGCUUGCUUCUCUGGUGUUAGCGGCGGACGGGUGAGUAACACGUGGAUAACCUACCUAUAAGACUGGGAUAACUUCGGGAAACCGGAGCUAAUACCGGAUAAUAUUUUGAACCGCAUGGUUCAAAAGUGAAAGACGGUCUUGCUGUCACUUAUAGAUGGAUCCGCGCUGCAUUAGCUAGUUGGUAAGGUAACGGCUUACCAAGGCAACGAUGCAUAGCCGACCUGAGAGGGGGAUAGGCCACACUGGAACUGAGACGCGGUCAAGACUCCUACGGGAGGCAGCAGUAGGGAAUCUUCCGCAAUGGGCGAAAGCCUGACGGAGCAACGGCGCGUGAGUGAUGAAGGUCUUCGGAUCGUAAAACUCUGUUAUUAGGGAAGAACAUAUGUGUAAGUAACUGUGCACAUCUUGACGGUACCUAAUCAGAAAGCCACGGCUAACUACGUG